RNAcentral lists this ribosomal RNA (460 nucleotides) under uncultured bacterium. RNAcentral's name for it is "partial 16S ribosomal RNA". It matches the Rfam family "Bacterial small subunit ribosomal RNA", at positions 338 to 795 of the family's 1533-position model. The record is from RNAcentral.
CCUACGAGAGGCAGCAGUGAGGCAUAUUGGUCAAUGGGCGCGAGCCUGAACCAGCCAAGUAGCGUGAAGGAUGACUGCCCUACGGGUUGUAAACUUCUUUUAUAAAGGAAUAAAGUGAAGCACGUGUGCCUUUUUGUAUGUACUUUAUGAAUAAGGAUCGGCUAACUCCGUGCCAGCAGCCGCGGUAAUACGGAGGAUCCGAGCGUUAUCCGGAUUUAUUGGGUUUAAAGGGAGCGUAGAUGGGUUGUUAAGUCAGUUGUGAAAGUUUGCGGCUCAACCGUAAAAUUGCAAUUGAUACUGGAAGCCUUGAGUACAGUUGAGGUAGGCGGAAUUCGUGGUGUAGCGGUGAAAUGCUCAGAUAUCACGAAGAACUCCGAUUGCGAAGGCAGCUUACUAAACUGCCACUGACAUUGAUGCUCGAAAGUGUGGGUAUCAAACAGGAUUAGAUACCCCGGUAGUC